UCCUGGUAGACCAAGGCCUUGCAGAUCAACUU
This 32-nucleotide non-coding RNA is filed under the name Macaca fascicularis (crab-eating macaque). Lineage: Eukaryota; Metazoa; Chordata; Mammalia; Primates; Cercopithecidae. The record is from RNAcentral. RNAcentral also lists the same sequence under 1 other name.